This 152-nucleotide small nuclear RNA is filed under the name Pogona vitticeps (central bearded dragon). Its description in RNAcentral is "U4 spliceosomal RNA (ENSPVIG00000007874.1)". It matches the Rfam family "U4 spliceosomal RNA". Rfam says of the family: U4 small nuclear RNA (U4 snRNA) is a component of the major U2-dependent spliceosome. The structure of U4 snRNA from yeast and human has been reported. Lineage: Eukaryota; Metazoa; Chordata; Lepidosauria; Squamata; Agamidae. The record is from Rfam by way of RNAcentral.
AGCUUAGCACAGUGACUAUGUUGUAACCAAUGUUGUUAAUCUGAGGUGCAAUUAUUGCUAAUUAAAAACUUUCCCCAAAAUAUAUUAUGCUAGUUUGAGUGCCAAGUAUUGCUGUGCUCCAGAAGAGACAUUUUUAAAGGCAUGGAUGUGUG